CUUUCAGACAACACAAAGGUUGCUAUAAAACGCCUUUCAGAUUAUCACAGCCCUGGAGGAGAAGCUGCUUUCCAAAGAGAAGUUCAGCUUAUUAGUGUUGCAGUUCAUAGGAAUCUUCUACGACUGAUUGGUUUUUGUAUGACCUCCUCUGAGAGAAUCCUUGUUUAUCCAUUUAUGAAAAAUCUGAGUGUCGCAUACCACCUGAGAGAUUUGAAACCUGGAGAAAAGGGUUUGGACUGGCCAACGAGGAAGCAAGUGGCCUUUGGUGUAGCUCAUGGACUGGAGUAUCUACAUGUGCAUUGUAAUCCUAAGAUUAUACAUCGUGACUUAAAGGCUGCUAACAUCCUAUUAGAU
This 354-nucleotide unclassified non-coding RNA is filed under the name Hevea brasiliensis (rubber tree). Lineage: Eukaryota; Viridiplantae; Streptophyta; Magnoliopsida; Malpighiales; Euphorbiaceae. The record is from RNAcentral.